Molecule: ribosomal RNA, 589 nt
Filed under: uncultured bacterium
Lineage: Bacteria
Description: bacterial SSU rRNA
Rfam family: Bacterial small subunit ribosomal RNA
Source: RNAcentral
GCAAGUCGAACGAGAAUCUAUGGAAAGAGGAUUCGUCCAAUUGAAAUACCCCCNUAAAGGCGGACGGGUGAGUAACGCGUGAGGAACCUGCCUUUCAGAGGGGGACAACAGUUGGAAACGACUGCUAAUACCGCAUAACGCGUAGAGGUCGCAUGGCCUUUACGCCAAAGAUUUAUCGCUGAAAGAUGGCCUCGCGUCUGAUUAGCUAGUUGGUGAGGUAACGGCCCACCAAGGCGACGAUCAGUAGCCGGACUGAGAGGUUGAACGGCCACAUUGGGACUGAGAUACGGCCCAGACUCCUACGGGAGGCAGCAGUGGGGAAUAUUGGGCAAUGGGCGCAAGCCUGACCCAGCAACGCCGCGUGAAGGAAGAAGGCUUUCGGGUUGUAAACUUCUUUUGUCAGGGACGAGCAGAAGACGGUACCUGACGAAUAAGCCACGGCUAACUACGUGCCAGCAGCCGCGGUAAUACGUAGGUGGCAAGCGUUGUCCGGAUUUACUGGGUGUAAAGGGCGUGUAGCCGGGUCGGCAAGUCAGAUGUGAAAUCCACGGGGCUUUAACUCGUGAACUGCAUUUGAAACUGUUGAUCU